Molecule: long non-coding RNA, 504 nt
Filed under: Anser brachyrhynchus (Pink-footed goose)
Lineage: Eukaryota; Metazoa; Chordata; Aves; Anseriformes; Anatidae
Description: lncRNA (ENSABRG00000021446.1)
Source: RNAcentral
ACCCAUCAUUGUCCAGGGGUUUGAGAGAAGGCCUUUUAUUACUGUAUUUCUUUUCCCUUUCCUCAAAGAAACCUCCACCCAGCUCGGGUGCCAGUGCAGCUGAGGACCAGCCUAAUCCUGCCACACUCACUGCUGCAGAAGGUGCAAGGAAAGCUUUGUUACUUCGUGGGGGCUGAUGAGCAGAAGCACAAGAGGCUCAGAACUGCCGGGAGGGAGGGUUGAUCGCUACUGGAACCAGCUGUUAGCUCCAGGUGGUAGGGCUUCCCCAGGUGAGACGCGUGAUGGGCCAGGCAGGAGGCUACAAAAAGGGGCUGGAUGGCAGGUUCUUGGUUUUGGAUGGGAAAGGACCGGUGAGGAAGAUGGGGGCUGUCUUCUUUUAGCUGGGUUUUCACCAGAGCAGCGGAGCUUUGAUUCAAAGCGUUGCAGAGAAAAGACUUCUCCAGUCAAGCAGGGAUGGAGAGCGGCUGGAGGAAAGCUGUUUCAUUGCACUCUGUCACAUCCCUG